AUACUUUUUUCCCCACUGUAUUAAAUUGAUUUUUGGAGCAGGGAGAUGGAAUAGGGGCUUGCUCCAUCCACUCCACGCAUCGACCCGGUAUUUCAGUAUCUCUGGGAACGGUGCACCCCUC
Molecule: small nuclear RNA, 121 nt
Organism: Larimichthys crocea (large yellow croaker)
Lineage: Eukaryota; Metazoa; Chordata; Actinopteri; Sciaenidae
Gene: U2
Rfam family: U2 spliceosomal RNA
About the family: U2 is a small nuclear RNA (snRNA) component of the spliceosome (involved in pre-mRNA splicing). Complementary binding between U2 snRNA (in an area lying towards the 5' end but 3' to hairpin I) and the branchpoint sequence (BPS) of the intron results the bulging out of an unpaired adenosine, on the BPS, which initiates a nucleophilic attack at the intronic 5' splice site, thus starting the first of two transesterification reactions that mediate splicing.
Source: Ensembl